UACGUAGGGUGCAAGCGUUAUCCGGAAUUAUUGGGCGUAAAGAGCUCGUAGGCGGUUUGUCGCGUCUGCUGUGAAAACCCGAGGCUCAACCUCGGGCCUGCAGUGGGUACGGGUAGACUAGAGUGCGGUAGGGGAGAUUGGAAUUCCUGGUGUGGCGGUGGAAUGCGCAGAUAUCAGGAGGAACACCGAUGGCGAAGGCAGAUCUCUGGGCCGUAACUGACGCUGAGGAGCGAAAGCGUGGGGAGCGAACAGG
RNAcentral lists this ribosomal RNA (253 nucleotides) under uncultured bacterium. Its description in RNAcentral is "partial 16S ribosomal RNA". It matches the Rfam family "Bacterial small subunit ribosomal RNA", at positions 524 to 776 of the family's 1533-position model. The record is from RNAcentral.